RNAcentral lists this transfer RNA (73 nucleotides) under Ictidomys tridecemlineatus (thirteen-lined ground squirrel). Its description in RNAcentral is "Spermophilus tridecemlineatus (thirteen-lined ground squirrel) tRNA". It matches the Rfam family "tRNA". From Rfam's summary of the family: Transfer RNA (tRNA) molecules are approximately 80 nucleotides in length. Lineage: Eukaryota; Metazoa; Chordata; Mammalia; Rodentia; Sciuridae. The record is from Rfam by way of RNAcentral.
GGGGAUAUAGCUCAGUUAGAGGAGUGCUUUCCUCACAUGCACAAGGCCCUGGGUUCAAUCCCCAGCAACCCCA